Molecule: long non-coding RNA, 995 nt
Filed under: Pongo abelii (Sumatran orangutan)
Lineage: Eukaryota; Metazoa; Chordata; Mammalia; Primates; Hominidae
Description: lincRNA
Source: RNAcentral
CAUAGGCUCCAGAAAACAAGACUGGAAAGCUGGGGAUGAUUGUACGCCCUCGCCUGAAUCUUACGUGGUUCCGGCACCUUCCACCUGGACGGUGCAGAGCCGUGGGUGCCACGUGGCCACUUCUGGGUUGGGUUCCCCUUGGCCUGCCACCCUGUCCCUUCUGCUUUCCCACUUUGCCAGCCAGAGUCAAUUUGAGCAUGCCAAGUUCUCCUCUCCAUACAGAGCUCCUGGUCUCCUUAGGGCACAGUUACAAGUGCUGAGUUCUUGCAAGGAUGAACUCAAGAUACAAAAUAUGCUUGGCAACUCACUUCUGAGUGGCCACAGGCACACACAGGAGUCGAACCCACCUGCCUCUGCUGACAGUCAUGGGUCAAGCUCAAAGUCCUGGCUGCUUCUCUGCUCAAGGUCUGUGCCCGCAGAGAGAGCCUGCUCCAGCCUCUUUGCUACAGCCUUGAGUCUUCUGCUAAGAAAAGACACAGAGGCAAAGAGAAACACAGAGAGGAGAAUGCCUCAUGAAAAUGAAGACCGAGAUUGGUGCAAUGUGUCCACAAGCCAGGGAAUGCCAACAUGGCCAGCAACCACCAGAAGCUGGGAGAGAGGCAAGGAACAGAGUCCUUGGAGCCUCCAGAAGGAACCAACCCUGUUGAUACCUUGACUGAAAACUUCCAGCCUCCAGAACUGUGACAGAAUUAAUUUCUGUUAUUGAAAGCCAUUCAGUUUGUGGUAAUUUGUUACAUCAGUCCUGAAUAGCAAACACAGAUGACCCAGGUUUAAAUCCUAGAUCUGCCAUUUGUGAGCAUGGGUAUAUAACUACUUUCUAGAGCCCUGGUUUCCUCACCUGUAAAAUAACCUCAUACGGUUAUUAAGAAGAUCAAAUGAGAUACAAACAUAAAUUCUUAACAGUGCUGGCAUGUUAAUUGUUCAAUAAAUAUGAGUUAUUUACAACAAUUGUGAUAGUAAUGAGUAACACAGAGAAAUGAGAAUUGACUUAGCAG